RNAcentral lists this ribosomal RNA (798 nucleotides) under uncultured bacterium. RNAcentral's name for it is "bacterial SSU rRNA". It matches the Rfam family "Bacterial small subunit ribosomal RNA", at positions 1 to 813 of the family's 1533-position model. The record is from RNAcentral.
UAGAAGUUUGAUCCUGGCUCAGGACGAACGCUGGCGGCGUGCUUAACACAUGCAAGUCGAACGGUGACCCUCGGAGCUUGCUCCGAGGUGAUCAGUGGCGAACGGGUGAGUAACACGUGAGUAACCUGCCCCAGACUCUGGAAUAACCCCGGGAAACCGGAGCUAAUACCGGAUACGAGACGGAGAGGCAUCUCUACCGUCUGGAAAGUUUUUCGGUCUGGGAUGGACUCGCGGCCUAUCAGCUAGUUGGUGAGGUAGUGGCUCACCAAGGCGACGACGGGUAGCCGGCCUGAGAGGGCGACCGGCCACACUGGGACUGAGACACGGCCCAGACUCCUACGGGAGGCAGCAGUGGGGAAUAUUGCACAAUGGGCGAAAGCCUGAUGCAGCGACGCCGCGUGAGGGAUGAAGGCCUUCGGGUUGUAAACCUCUUUCGGCAGGGAAGAAGCGAAAGUGACGGUACCUGCAGAAGAAGCACCGGCUAACUACGUGCCAGCAGCCGCGGUAAUACGUAGGGUGCGAGCGUUGUCCGGAAUUAUUGGGCGUAAAGAGCUUGUAGGCGGUCUGUCGCGUCUGCUGUGAAAAUCCGAGGCUCAACCUCGGACUUGCAGUGGGUACGGGCAGACUAGAGUGUGGUAGGGGAGACUGGAAUUCCUGGUGUAGCGGUGAAAUGCGCAGAUAUCAGGAGGAACACCGAUGGCGAAGGCAGGUCUCUGGGCCAUAACUGACGCUGAGAAGCGAAAGCGUGGGGAGCGAACAGGAUUAGAUACCCUGGUAGUCCACGCCGUAAACGUUGGG